RNAcentral lists this transfer RNA (73 nucleotides) under Branchiostoma floridae (Florida lancelet). It matches the Rfam family "tRNA". Rfam says of the family: Transfer RNA (tRNA) molecules are approximately 80 nucleotides in length. Their secondary structure includes four short double-helical elements and three loops (D, anti-codon, and T loops). Lineage: Eukaryota; Metazoa; Chordata; Leptocardii; Amphioxiformes; Branchiostomatidae. The record is from Rfam by way of RNAcentral.
GUACAAGUAGCUCAACCGACAAAGCAACUGCCUAUGACGUAGUGGCACGGAGGUUCAUGUCCCACCUUGGACA